Zonotrichia albicollis (white-throated sparrow) is the source of this 1436-nucleotide non-coding RNA. NCBI's taxonomy places the organism in Eukaryota, Metazoa, Chordata, Aves, Passeriformes, Passerellidae. The record is from RefSeq and is a predicted model, not a curated record.
CCUUGCUGUGCCUUUUGUGCUGUUUCAUCCCCAGGUUCUAAAGAAAAUUGCUAAGUUCAUUCAGGAACAGAAUGAGAAGAUCUACGCUCCUCAGGGCCUUCUGCUGACAGACCCCAUUGAAAGAGGAUUAAGAGUUAUUGAAAUUACCAUUUAUGAAGACAGAGGUUUGACCAGUGGAAGAUAAAACUGUGGAGUCUCAGAUGCCAGCUCACCGGUGGACUCGCUGUACCAAGGUUCCCCUACCUCCUACUUUAGAGCAUCAUUCCUUUCUCUGCUGCCAGAUCCACAGUGCCAUCUACUACAAGGACUAACUUCCUCCAACUGCUCCCCAGGGGUGACCUAGCUGGUCAGCAUCCACUUUGCAGUAGAUUUGGAAGCAAGAGGAUCACUUUUUAGUUUUUGUUUGGUUUGGGGUUUUCUUUUUUUUUUUUUCCUCAAGAAAAGGCAGAAGUGGUAAAGCUGUGUUGUCUCCUGAAAGAAAUGGGGCUCUGAGCCCAACAGAGGUUUAGUUUUAGUCCUGUAAGUGCAGUGCUGUUUGUCCCUGGUUCUUAAACCCUUCUGUGUGUCAGUUGGGCUUUGGAAAGCUCCAGCUCCAAGUUGGGAAUUUCUCUCCAGUUCAGUGUAAGAGUGCAGAGAUACACAGAGCCUCUUCCCAGUGAGGAGUGACCCAAGGCAGCAGCUCCUGUGCUGGUCCUUGUGGAAAACCAAAAGGCAAAAGUGUUCCUUGAGUUAAAGUCUUGGUUAUCCUGGGGAGAGGGGGCUGUAGCCAGACUUUAACCCUGCUGGUUUGUCUGCCCCUGUGUCUGUGCUGUUGUUGGCCAGGUCAGCCAUGGAACAGUGAGCACAGUAAAGUGGAUGCUGAGCCAAUAAAAAUAACAAUUCCCACCCUUCUCUGAUUAAUAUGUGAAGUGUAAAACUGUUUCUUUAUGGAUUUCUUAUAUAUAAUUUAUAGGAAAACAUUGAUUUGACAAGCUGUAAGAUACUGUGUAGGAUGGAUUUCUGAAUUCUGUUUCUGGCGCACAUUGAGGAGUGGAGCUGUGCAUUCCUCAGCAUCCCCGUGCAUUGCUCAGCAGAACCUGCACGAGUGCAGCUCCCCACAAUCCAAGCUGCCUGAAUCCCUCCCCUUCCAUCCUUUUCCUGUGUCACAGCCCAGGUGUCCUGGUGUAGGGGCCCAGUGUCAGUGUCCAGUUGUGCAAGGACCUCAGGAGUUCAGGCUGGAGGGGCUGGGUUGGUUGCUGGUGGUGCUGCAGGUGCUAAUACUGGAUGUGGAACUCCAGGCUCAUUCCUCAGCCACUGGGGGAGGGGGUUGAGAUUUGAUUAAUAUUUUCAUUGUAUAAAUUUGUUUUUUUUCUAAACUGUAACAGUGUUUGCCUUUCACAGCUGUUGCAAUAUUGGCAGAAGUACUGAUGGAUCAGUAAACCUUUUCUUAAACUGUG